CAGCGGAGCAUGUGGUUAAUUCGAAGCAACGCGAAGAACCUUACCAGGUCUUGACAUCCUCUGACAAUCUGAGAGAUCAGACUUUCCCUUCGGGGACAGAGAGACAGGUGGUGCAUGGUUGUCGUCAGCUCGUGUCGUGAGAUGUUGGGUUAAGUCCCGCAACGAGCGCAACCCCUGUGGUUAGUUGCCAUCAUUUAGUUGGGCACUCUAAGCAGACUGCCGUGGAUAACACGGAGGAAGGUGGGGACGACGUCAAAUCAUCAUGCCCCUUAUGACCUGGGCUACACACGUGCUACAAUGGUCUGAACAGAGGGCUGCGAAACCGCGAGGUGAAGCUAAUCCCUUAAAACAGAUCUCAGUUCGGAUUGCAGGCUGCAACUCGCCUGCAUGAAGUUGGAGUUGCUAGUAAUCGCAGAUCAGAAUGCUGCGGUGAAUGCGUUCCCGGGUCUU
RNAcentral lists this ribosomal RNA (450 nucleotides) under uncultured Acetobacterium sp. RNAcentral describes it as "bacterial SSU rRNA". It matches the Rfam family "Bacterial small subunit ribosomal RNA", at positions 930 to 1382 of the family's 1533-position model. The record is from RNAcentral. Lineage: Bacteria; Bacillati; Bacillota; Clostridia; Eubacteriales; Eubacteriaceae.